RNAcentral lists this non-coding RNA (470 nucleotides) under Pan troglodytes (chimpanzee). Lineage: Eukaryota; Metazoa; Chordata; Mammalia; Primates; Hominidae. RNAcentral also lists the same sequence under 1 other name. The record is from RNAcentral.
AAAUUGUUGAAUUUUUCUUUUCACUAUAGGUUUUCCUCCUUGGAAGUUUAGCCUGUUAACUUUCAGGAAGUUUUGUACUCAGAUUCCCACAGUCAGUAUUCUGCCAGUGGUGGUGUUUCAUUUUGUUCAAAGAUAUAUAAAUUUUUCUUUUCCUUUUUCUAUAUUUCUUUUUUUUUUUUUUUCUCUUAGAGCCAUUGCUGCUGAGAUUGUUCUAAAGGGACAAAGAGAGGUCCACCGUUUAUAUCAGAGAGCCUUACAGAAGUUACCUCUUUGUGCAUCACUGUGGAAAGAUCAACUCUUGUUUGAAGCAUCAGAAGGAGGUAAAACUGAUAACCUGAGAAAACUAGUUUCCAAGUGCCAAGAGAUUGGAGUCAGCCUAAAUGAGCUCUUAAAUUUAAACAGUAACAAAACAGAAAGCAAGAAUCACUGAACACUGGGUGCAGUCAGUUCUAAGUCCUUAUAAUAAUUGC